AGAGCGAACGCUGGCGGCAGGCCUAAUACAUGCAAGUCGAACGGACCCUUCGGGGUUAGUGGCGGACGGGUGAGUAACACGUGGGAACGUGCCCUUUGGUUCGGAACAACUCAGGGAAACUUGAGCUAAUACCGAAUGUGCCCUUCGGGGGAAAGAUUUAUCGCCAUUGGAGCGGCCCGCGUCUGAUUAGCUAGUUGGUGAGGUAAAGGCUCACCAAGGCGACGAUCAGUAGCUGGUCUGAGAGGAUGAUCAGCCACACUGGGACUGAGACACGGCCCAGACUCCUACGGGAGGCAGCAGUAGGGAAUCUUGCGCAAUGGGCGAAAGCCUGACGCAGCCAUGCCGCGUGAAUGAUGAAGGUCUUAGGAUUGUAAAAUUCUUUCGGCGGGACGAUAAUGACGGUACCCGCAGAAGAAGCCCCGGCUAACUUCGCGCCAGCAGCCGC
This 445-nucleotide ribosomal RNA is filed under the name uncultured bacterium. RNAcentral's name for it is "SSU rRNA". It matches the Rfam family "Bacterial small subunit ribosomal RNA", at positions 26 to 518 of the family's 1533-position model. The record is from RNAcentral.